AGAGUUGGCGCAGGUGGUUGCGGAUUUGCUUCUUUGAGUAAAUCUGAGGAAAGUCCGGACUCCCGAAAGACCAAACUUGCUGGGUAAUGCCCAGUGCAGGCGACUGUGAGGAUAGUGCCACAGAAACAUACCGCCAAUUAGUUAUUAGUCAUUAGUCAUGGGUUAUUUGUAAAGCACAACGGACAAAUGACGAAGGACAAAUCACUAAUUUGGUAAGGGUGCAAAGGUGCGGUAAGAGCGCACCAGCAGUAUCGAGAGGUACUGGCUCGGUAAACCCCGGUUGGGAGCAAGGUCGAAGGAACUACGGUUGGUCUUUUACCCGUUCCGCUAUUGUAGAGCCGCUUGAGGCGUUUGGUAACAAACGUCCCAGAUAGAUAACUACCCUCUUAGUUGGUGACAGCUAGGAGAACAGAAUCCGGCUUAUGUCCAACUCUCUCC
RNAcentral lists this RNase P RNA (438 nucleotides) under Cyanobacteria bacterium UBA12227. RNAcentral describes it as "RNase P RNA component class A". It matches the Rfam family "Bacterial RNase P class A". From Rfam's summary of the family: Ribonuclease P (RNase P) is a ubiquitous endoribonuclease, found in archaea, bacteria and eukarya as well as chloroplasts and mitochondria. Its best characterised activity is the generation of mature 5'-ends of tRNAs by cleaving the 5'-leader elements of precursor-tRNAs. Cellular RNase Ps are ribonucleoproteins. The record is from RNAcentral. Lineage: Bacteria; Bacillati; Cyanobacteriota. RNAcentral also lists the same sequence under 3 other names.